AUUGAACGCUGGCGGCAUGCUUUACACAUGCAAGUCGAACGAGUGGCGAACGGGUGAGUAAUAUAUCGGAACGUACCGAGGAAUGGGGGAUAACAAAUCGAAAGAUUGGCUAAUACCGCAUAUUAUUCGCGCGGCCGAUAACUGAUUAGCUAGUUGGGGGGGUAAAGGCCUACAAAGGCGACGACCAGUAGCGGGUCUGAGAGGACGAAUCGCCACACCGGGGAUGGGGCACGGCCCAGAUUGCUAAGGGAGGCAGCAGGGGGGAAUUUUGGGACAUGGGGGGAAGCCGUGUUCAGCCAUGCCGGGUGUAUGAAGAAGGCCUUCCGGGUUUAAAAUAACUUUUUUAGGGAAGCGGUACCUAAAGAAUAAGCACCGGCUAACUACGUGCCAGCCGCCGCGGUAAUUC
This 406-nucleotide ribosomal RNA is filed under the name uncultured bacterium. RNAcentral's name for it is "partial 16S ribosomal RNA". It matches the Rfam family "Bacterial small subunit ribosomal RNA", at positions 30 to 526 of the family's 1533-position model. The record is from RNAcentral.